GCCGAAACUAAACAAGAGAAAAAGAAAGAAAACAUAGUUCUAUUCGGCAAUAUUGAAGCUUAAUUGAGAUCGAGAAACGAAGAAAACGGAUUUGAAUCGGGGAAAAACGAAAGUAGUUGAAUAGUCGAUCGUGUCGGCUGAUAUCCGAGAUAAAAAUCAAGCUGCAGACACGGGGAUCAUUAGCGAAGAUCAUCACUCUAUCUACUGUCUCGGUAUUAAAAUGUUUAAAUUUUAACUUAUGGCAUGUAUAGGCUAGAUAAUAUUUUGGGAGUCGUACUUUAAUGUACUGUAUAUAUAUAAAAUUAAUAGCCAUA
This is a long non-coding RNA of Gossypium raimondii (Peruvian cotton), 314 nucleotides long. RefSeq lists it as uncharacterized. The record is from RefSeq and is a predicted model, not a curated record. Lineage: Eukaryota; Viridiplantae; Streptophyta; Magnoliopsida; Malvales; Malvaceae. The transcript is spliced from 3 exons.